This 6673-nucleotide long non-coding RNA is filed under the name Malus domestica (apple). RNAcentral describes it as "long non-coding RNA (MDOM_LNC002240)". Lineage: Eukaryota; Viridiplantae; Streptophyta; Magnoliopsida; Rosales; Rosaceae. The record is from RNAcentral.
GAACGUGUUCAGAGCACACAUCUAAUCGAGAAUAUUAGAAGAUUAACAUAAACAAAUUGAAUGAACACAGAACGGGGUCCUACACCUAGAGGACUCGAAGAUACCGAUGCGGAAGUGUCUGGAUGUCGGGAUUGUACGCCUCGAUUCUAAGUCCUGAAGGGGGCGCAAAACAAACAUGAGUGGACCAAGUUGAUAUAUAUAUAUAAUAAAACAGUUAUCAACGUACUAACCCCCAGGUUUUAUGAAAACACAUAUAUAAUGUUAAACAUAGGUUUUCCGAAACCUAGCAUGUCGUGCAAUGUCUCAAAUCAUAACUCAUAUAUAUAAUAAUCACUAGUGAAUUGUCCGAUAACCUGCAGGCCCCAUGCCAGCUCCCCGUCUCUGAGCGGACAGUCAGAGGAAUAUACACUACAGGCCCCAUGCCGGCUCCCCGUCCCUGUGCUAAAUAGCCAGAGGAAACACACUCCAGGCCCUAUGCCAACACCAAACCGUCGCCCGGGACGGACCGGAAUCUAUCCCUACGUCCCGUAGCGGAAAGGACCACUAGGUAAGUACGAAACCAUUGAACAUAUAUAUACUGAAAAACAACUUCGUAGUAUAAAGUCAUCCAUCAUCUAUACUACAAAGAGGUGUUCUAAACAUGUUCUAAAUAUCAUAUCGUCAUCCAUCGGAUAUUCUAUAAGAACAUGGGUUAUAGGAAAAAUAGUAAUAAUUCAAUCUAGCCUCAGUAAGCAUACUAUCUCAUAAAGUAUUUCAUAAAACAUAAGUAUUAAAUCAUGAUUUUCAUGUAUGCAUUUCUAUUGUUAAAACAUGCUUUUGAAGGGGUCCACUCACAAAUACUUAGCCGCCGAAGAGCCACGCAAACUAGCAAUCAUGGAAACGUCACAAAUAUUGCCCCUAAGCACAUAAAGGGUACAAUUAAUAAAACUAUAUAAUAGCAAUUGAAUUUGGGAAAACGGACGUUGGAAACGGAUUCGGAACGUCGAAUUUAGCCUAGGAGAGGUCUUGGACGAAACCCCAAAAAGUCAACUCAAAAAGUCAACGUUGAUCGUUGACCGAUCAAAGUCAAAGUCAACUCUGACCGUUGACCGUUGACCAGGUCAACAGUCAACUGGUCAGAGGUCAAAGUCAAUUGGGCUUUGAAUUGGGUUGGGCUGAAAAGGGCUGAAAAGGGUUUUGAGGAAAAGGGCUUUCAGCCCCUUAACAGAAAAUGGCCCAAAGGGCCCUAAAUUCCUAAAACAGAAAAUAAAAUAAACAAAAACCUUAAAAGGUUUUUGGGUUGGGUCAUGGGCCACAGACCCUAAACAUAAACGGCCCGAGGGCCUUUGGUCUUAACAAAAUAAUUAAAUGAAAACAAAUAAAAGGAAAUGGGUUGGAUUGGGCUGGCCUCACCACACGGGCCUAAGGCCCUCUUGCUACAGGAACCGGCCUGGGAGGCCUGGCCUCACCGGAGCACCACCACCAGAGCUUCACAGCUCCGGCCGACUUCCACACACAACCCUAGACUUCGAUCUAGGUACCAAAACGAAGAGCAAGACGAGGGGAGUAUUUCUAUACCUUCCUUUCGUCGUGGAAUGGCCGGAGAUGGCCGGAAAAAACCUCCGAGGUUGCCGGAGUUGGGUGUGCUUACACCCGGCUUCGAUUUCGUCCCAUAACCUCCAAAAAUCACGAAUUAACUCCAAUUAAACCUCAAUCUCGCAAGAAUCAAGGACGAAAAGAGAGAAUUAGGGGCUUACCUAACCGGAAAAUACAAAAAUCCGCCGGAGUUCCUUUCCGGGUUUUUCGCCGAGUUCACAGAAACGAGAGGGAGAGAGAGCAGGACGAGAUGAUGAAGGGUGAUGGGCUUCCUCGCGCGGGGGAGAUGGGUGCGUGCGUGUGUGCACGGUGCAGAGAAGAGGGAGAGAAGUGAGAGAUGAGAGAGAGCCGAGAGGGAGAGACAUGAAGAAAGAAAAGAAAAACAGAAAAGAAGAAGAAAGAAGGGAGUUCACGGGGGAAAAGAGAGAAGAAAGAGAAAUUGUUUGGGGGGGCUGCCACGUGGCAGAUUUAGAAGGAAAAGGGAUCCAAUGCUUUGGAUCCUGAUUUGGUAGACAAAAAGGAUGAAAUAGAUAUAUUUAAAACAUUUAGGGGUAAUUACAAACAUAAAUCUUUAUAAUUAGGGGGCGGGUGUUACAAUCUUCCCCCCUUAUAAAAAUUUCGUCCCCGAAAUUUAAAAUCAUUUACUAAACUGAAGUAUUCGAAAAUAGUAAGAAGAAUAUAUGUAUAAAGAGAAAUCAAGUCAGAGUGGGUGCAUCAAAGAGAAUAUGCCACACCGUCGCGAGCGGGUUGCAAAAUCCUCUAUCAUGCCUCCAAGCUCUUACUUUCUUCCCCAUUAGUGUAAAAAAAAUAGAAAACAUACUUUAAUAAGAUAUAAGGUCAAAACAUAUAUUGACGUAAGGAAAAAAAUAAGUACAUAAAAUACGAUAACGUCAAAAUAGAGAUUACUAACAUAUAGGUCGAAAACUCGAGCUGAACUUAAAAUUGAAAACGGAAAACACUUUCCUCUAAACAUUUAUAAAGACCAAAAACAAUUAACUAAAUUAGAGGAAGUUAAAAUACUUAUACUAAAAACCAAAACUGAAAAUGGAAGUGGGUCUCGCCCAAAAAUUCGUAACUUCACGUACUUCGAGAAAAGAUGAGUCUUUGGGUCGAGUCCCAAGAAUAUCAAUUCCGAAUCUGCAUCAGCUGCUGUAGACGAAUCUUCUUUUCCACUUGCUUAAUGAAUCCAACGAAUAAGUUAUCGAUACAACAGUCAGCCGCCCGUGAUAUCGAUUACACAUUUGUUGUCUCGAUAAGCAAGCAGUAAUUUCCUGAGGGUGCACAAUUUCACACGUUGUAAAUUCGAUCCUCCGAAUACAAGUUCGCACAACUCCUCUAUCAACCAAUGUUGCAUGUAGCAACUUUCAUACCAUGUCGCGAAAAGUGCCAUCCACAAACCGAGCAAAAUAAGAACUAUCGUCGUAAAACUUUAUCCAGCACCAAGCAUCCUAUCCUCCUCAAUUCUUCCAAAUGUGACCAACUACUCCAGAAUUUUGCCAAUAAGUAACCCAUUUGAAAACUGUACCUUGAGAUUCAAGAGAAGUGGCUACCAUGCUAGUAGUAGACCCAAAAGCUCAAACCAAGCAAGCAGAAAACGAGAAGUCAUCUUCCUCAACAUGAAGUAUCUCUUGGGAACUGUUGUAGUGCUUAAUCCACCUCUCCAUUUUUGCUUAGUUGCAGAUUUCUAGUCAACCAAGGUCAAAGUUGGUGGAAAGAAGAACGACUCGCAAAUGGUCAACUAAAAACAAAAGAGAGUACACACAUUUCGAGAGAAGUGCAAAGAUUAUCCGAUUCUUGUCUCGAUCGUUCUGUAAUGCCAUUCCAGAAUGCACCAAACAGAUCUGCUAGAAGGGAUUCAACAUCCACAUACUCACAAGAAUAAGGUUCAGAAGUGAAGCAGUCGAAAUAUGCAUUGAGACGAACACAUAUCGUUGGAAAAUAACCGAUGUGAUGCCUAUGAAUUGUAGUAAGAUGGUGAUACAAUAUGCUGACCUUCUGUACUAAAACCUUCAACCAACUCUUACUAAAAGACCACUCAAGCCUCAUGCCCACGUGCUUUCAAACCGAAUGAUCCUGGUUAGAGGUAGUGGAAAGUUGCGUUGAGGCGAACAUAUCACAUCAUCAAAAAGGUCUACCCGAGUAAGAUAUGAUGGUUAUGAGUUGUAGCAAGAUAAUGAGUGGUGACCAUUCAAUUCAGCAUGAAGAUAGUGAUGCAAUAUGCUAAUCACCUGUACCACAAUCUUCACCGGUCUCUUACCAAAAGACGAAUCAAACUUCACACCCACGAGGAACUCUUUCUGGUAAGUCUGGUAAGCUUGUCAAAAUAAUAUGCUCCCAACAUUCCUGUCCAAAACGAUAAGAAUUGGGCGUACACUUCUGCCGAAUUGAUCGAUCGUGAAUUCCUCACUGAUUGAGCGAGAAACCAUGUCGAGAAGGCUAAAAGAACAUUCAAGAAUUUGAGAGUCAAAACAAGUCCAUUAAAAUUGGAGUACAAGAUAUCGGGAUUUAAACCAGAAACCAUGCUGAGAACAAAUUUUUUUUUUUUUUUUUUUUUUUUUUUUUUUGUUCCGACAUGAUUGAGUUUACAUUGAGAAACAAACAAGCGAAGGAAAAUGGAGAUGCAGAAAUAGAAGUCACUGUUUAUGAUUAUUUGGCUAAUCAUCACAAUAAGGUCGACUGGUUUCUUAGCCAAAAGGAACAGGUCUAAUCUCAAGAAUAGUUAGAAACUGCUAAUAAAAUUUGACGAGGCCAAAGAUAUUUCGAAAUUCACAAUACUUUGUGAGAUUUGUUUCAAAGUUCAAAAAUUAAACAUAAAACCUUUGAAUCAACAGAAUGACGAAGAAGAAACAUACAAAGCAGCCUGCGUAUGCAUGCAGUGACACGAUUAGCUACCUUAAAGUGAUGCUCUUGCGCAAACCAAGGCUCAAUGAAUCCAGAGAAGUUUAGAGCAAAGCUCGAUCUUCGUACAAUGAUGAAUAUGGUAGAGUCUCAAGUCAUUACACUGAAAAUUACAAGGCUGAACAGUUAAUGGACAGAAGCACUAGUCAGUUGAGCUACAAGCAAGAGGCUAAGUUCACCUCUACCGAAAAGUACGUAAACAAAGAGCUAAGGUUUACUACCGAGUACCAGACCCAGGUGAAAUUCAAGGAAUCUGUUUAUCCAAACAAGUCUGAAUUUUCAUCAUCCAAGUCCAACUACAACAAGAACAAGAAUCGUAACUCCAUUUUGGGAAAAUUGAUGGGAAUAGCAUCUGCUACCGAGGAGUUUCCCAAGAAAAUGAAAUCUCUAGACGAAGUCAACUCUCGAAGGAUUUGAUGUGAAGUUGACGAUCAAAGGUUCGUGAACUUGUCUUCGUCAUUGAGUAAACAAGAAGGUAAUCGAUAGAACAAUCGCCGAGAAUUGUUAUAAAGAUUAAUCCAAAUUUCUUUGGUGGUAAUGAGUCCGAGAACAUUGAUUUGUUCCCACUAACUACCACCUACUAACCGUCGUCACCACUCGCACUUACUCGCUUACUUAGCACACACUUCGAACAAUUCAAGCAAUUUCCAAGAGAUAUGACUCUGCCCGCCAUUCCUAGGGAACGCAUGUUGCAGAGUGAUAUCACCGCUUCAGAUCUCUAGUUGGUCUUAGUCAAUUCAUACUGCCAAGAUUUUUUUUUUUCCGCUUCCCAAGAUUUCGAUGCAAAGCCGACUCCGCCCGUAAUUCCUAGGGAACGCAUGUUGCAGAGUGGCAUCGCCAUUUCGGAUCUACAACUGGUCUUGACCAGAAUUCCUCAAACUGAGAUUUCUAAAACACGCCGCUUCCAAGUAACACCGACUAUGCAUGUCAUUCCCAGAGAAUGCACUUCACAGAGUAUCGAUCCGAUGCUGAAAGUCGUCCAACAAUUCAAACACGUCACCGAUAAGGCACAAUCCCGACACAAAUUCUUGAAUUUCAACCAGAAUGUGACAAUUCAAUCAGAGAGAGAUUUGCACAACUGCACCGACUGGCACAAAAAUCUGGAAGUCGUGACAUCCAAAUGAUGUCAAAACCAAGACUUUAUGAGAAUAGAAGAGAAUCCUAAGUAUGCUCUGAACAAACCACGCUCUGAUACCAAUCUGACACGCCCCGAUCCCGAUAUUCCUCGAAUACCAAGAUAGGCACGUGCUGGCCGACACCCAAGGGUGACGACAGCCAUUAAUUGAAAGCAAAUGCUAAGAAUAAGGAAUAAAUAAGGUUUAUAAAUAUAAAAGAAUAAAGAAUAUGCAUUUAAGGAACGUGUUCAGAGCACACAUCUAAUCGAGAAUAUUAGAAGAAUUAACAUAAACAAAUUGAAUGAACACAGAACGGGAUCCUACACCUAGAGGACUCGAAGAUACCGAUGCGGAAGUGUCUGGAUGUCGGGAUUGUACGCCUCGAUUCUAAGUCCUGAAGGGGGCGCAAAACAAACAUGAGUGGACCAAGUUGAUAUAUAUAUAUAAUAAAACAGUUAUCAACGUACUAACCCCCAGGUUUUUAUGAAAACACAUAUAUAAUGUUAAACAUAGGUUUUCCGAAACCUAGCAUGUCGUGUGCAAUGUCUCAAAUCAUAACUCAUAUAUAUAUAAUAACUCACUAGUGAAUUGUCCGAUAACCUGCAGGCCCCAUGCCAGCUCCCCGUCUCUGAGCGGACAGUCAGAGGAAUAUACACUACAGGCCCCAUGCCGGCUCCCCGUCCCUGUGCUAAAUAGCCAGAGGAAACACACUCCAGGCCCUAUGCCAACACCAAACCGUCGCCCGGGACGGACCGGAAUCUAUCCCUACGUCCCGUAGCGGAAAGGACCACUAGGUAAGUACGAAACCAUUGAACAUAUAUAUACUGAAAAACAACUUCGUAGUAUAAAGUCAUCCAUCAUCUAUACUACAAAGAGGUGUUCUAAACAUGUUCUAAAUAUCAUAUCGUCAUCCAUCGGAUAUUCUAUAAGAACAUGGGUUAUAGGAAAAAUAGUAAUAAUUCAAUCUAGCCUCAGUAAGCAUACUAUCUCAUAAAGUAUUUCAUAAAACAUAAGUAUUAAAUCAUGAUUUUCAUGUAUGCAUUUCUAUUGUUAAAACAUGCUUUUGAAGGGGUCCACUCACAAAU